UACGUAGGGGGCAAGCGUUGUCCGGAAUCAUUGGGCGUAAAGCGCGCGUAGGCGGCCCGGUAAGUCCGCUGUAAAAGUCCAGGGCUCAACCCUGGGAUGCCGGUGGAUACUGUCGAGCUCGAGUCCGGAAGAGGCGAGUGGAAUUCCUGGUGUAGCGGUGAAAUGCGCAGAUAUCAGGAGGAACACCAAUGGCGAAGGCAGCUCGCUGGGACGUGACUGACGCUGAGACGCGAAAGCGUGGGGAGCAAACAGG
This 253-nucleotide ribosomal RNA is filed under the name uncultured bacterium. RNAcentral's name for it is "partial 16S ribosomal RNA". It matches the Rfam family "Bacterial small subunit ribosomal RNA", at positions 524 to 776 of the family's 1533-position model. The record is from RNAcentral.